Molecule: long non-coding RNA, 449 nt
Filed under: Bos taurus (domestic cattle)
Lineage: Eukaryota; Metazoa; Chordata; Mammalia; Artiodactyla; Bovidae
Description: long non-coding RNA NONBTAT007141
Source: RNAcentral
UGACAUUUAAUCCUCCUUUUCUUCCCCCUUUACCAACACAGUAUCACAUUCAGGCAAACUGAGACCCCAGAGGCUUUGGUGCCUAGGAACUCAUAUUCAGAGACAUAAAGUUUACCUGUUUGAGGCUAGUACCUGCUUGAGGUUCAUUCUGGAAACACUGUGAGCUCAGGUUCUUUGUCUUUCAAGCCAAUUCUCCCUUCAUUGAGCUCUGUCAGGUGAGUCUGAAAUCUAUUUGUAUGAGCACAAGAAGUAUAUUUCGGUCUGUAAUUCUCUCUGUGUCCCUGUGUGGUUCCCUCAGCCUCUCUCAAGUCUCUGUGUCUUUGAGUGAAUUUCUGCUAUGUGUGUGCAAGUGUGUGCUUGUGUAUUUGCUAUCGUUUGGCUUAUGUGUAUUUGCUAUCAUUUGUUUGGCUUAUGAUGGAAGGGUUUAAAACAAAUAAAAAUAAAAUUCC